ACCAUUCCAUGAAAAUGGAGCUCUAUAGGAGAAAGCCCUGCCUCCAGCUGUUUGCUUAGAAAUUCUAAGGACAGUAAGGAGGCCUGUGUCUUGUGACCGUAGCGUACAUGUAGGUAUGUACGGCAGGACCAAAUCAGAAAGAUAGGUAGGAGCAAGCCCAUGUAAUGCUUUGUAGGUUAGCAGUAAAACCUUGAAAUCAGUCCUUGCCUUAACAGGAAGCCAGUGUAGGGAGGCACUGGAGUAAUAUUAUCACAUUUUGGGGUUAUAGUCAAGAUUCUAGCAGGCGUGUUUAGCACUAACAGAAGUUUAUUUAGUGCUUUAUUCAGGUAACCUGAAAGUAGAGCAUUGCAGUAGUCUAACCUAGAAGUGAGAAAAGCAUGGAUACAUUUUUCUGCAUCCGUUUUGGACAGAAAGUUUCUGGUUUUUGCAAUGUUACGUUCGUCAAAAGAGAGCUCAGGGUCCAGAGUAACUCCAAGGUCCUUCACAGUUUUAUUUGAGACGACUGUACAACCAUCAAGAUUAAUUGUCAGAUUCAACAGAAGAUCUCUUUGUUUCUUGGGACCUAGAACAAGGAUCUCUGUUUUGUCCUAGGUUAAAAGUAGAACAUUUGUCAGUCAUCAUUCAGGUAGGUCCUAGCCAGUCAUCAUUCAGAUAAGUCCUCCUAGCCAGUCAUCAUUCAGGUAGGUCCUCCUAGUCAGUCAACCAGUCAUCAUUCAGGUAGGUCCUCCUAGUCAGUCAUCAUUCAGGUAGGUCCUCCAAGUCAGUCAUCAUUUUGAUAGUUCCUCAUAGUCAGUCAUCAUUCAGGUAGGUCCUAGCCAGUCAUCAUUCAACCAGUCAUCAUUCAGGUAAGUUCUCCUAGUCAGUCAUCAUUCAGGUAGGUUCUCCUAGUCAGUCAUCAUUCAGGUAGGUCCUCCUAGUCAAUCAUUUAGGUAGGUCCUCCUAGUCAGUCAUCAUUUUGGUAGUUCCUCCUUGUAAGUCAUCAUUCAGGUAGGUCCUCCUAGUCAGUUAUCAUUCAGGUAGGUCCUAGCCAGUCAUCAUUCAACCAGUCAUCAUUCAGGUAGGUUCCCCUAGUGAGUCAUCACUCAUUCAGGUAGGUCCUCCUGGUCAAUCAUUCAGGUAGAUCCUCCUAGUCAGUCAUCAUGUUGGUAGUUCCUCCUAGUAAGUCAUCAUUCAGGUAGGUCAUCCUAGUCGGUCAUCAUUCAGGUAGGUCAUCCUAGUCAAUCAUUUAGGUAGGUCCUCCUAGUCAGUCAUGAUGUUGCCAGUCAUCAUUCAACCAGUCAUCAUUCAGGUAUGUCCUCCUAGUCAAUCAUUUAGGUAGGUCCUCCUAGUCAGUCAUGAUGUUGGUAGUUCCUCCUAGUAAGUCAUCAUUCAGGUAGGUCCUCCUAGUCAGUCAUCAUUCAUGUAGGUCCUAGCAAGUCAUCAUUCAGGUAGGUUCUAACCAGUCAUCAUUCAGGUAGGUCCUCCUAGUCAGUCUUCAUUCAGGUAGUUCCUAGUCAGUCAUCAUUCAGGUAGGCCCUAGUCAGUCAUCAUUCAGGUAGGUCUUAGUCAGUCAUAUUUCAGGUGGGCCCUAAUCAGUCAUCAUUCAGUUAUUCCUAUUAAGUCAUCAUUCAGGUAGGUCCUCCUAGUCAGUCAUCUCUCAGGUAGGUCCUAGCCAGUCAUCAUUCAGAUAGGUCAUAGUCAAUCAUCAGUCAGGUAAGUCCUCCUAGCCAGUCAUCGUUUAGGUAGGUCCUCAUGGUCAGUCAUCAUUCAGGUAGAUUCUAGCCUGUCAUCAUUCAGGUAAGUCCUCAUAAUCAGUCAUCAUGCAGGUAGGUCCUCCUAGCCAGUCAUCAUGCAGGUAGGUCCUCCUAGCCAGUCAUCAUUCAGGUAGGUCAUAGUCACUCGUCUUUCAGGUAGGUCAUAGUCAGUCACAGUGAGGAGAGGGCCUUGCUCUGUUUAUCUUUAGAAGGAUCUUAUCCUUCGUCUAGUUGUGUCUAGUGUUGCAAAAUUACAAGAACUUUAAAUAAUUUCCAUGGUUUUCCAAACAUCCCAGUUGGAGGAUCCCAGAACCAGGAGGAAAUAAGCAGGACAUCCGGAACCCUCCAACCCGGAUUUCUGGAAAACUAGGGAAUUUAUUGACAGUUCCCUGAAUUUUGUAACCCUGGUUGUGUCCCAAUAACUGCAGAAGGAGCUGUGACAGGAGAGGGCCUGUGGGAGUAUAGUGAUGAGAUUGACCACUCUCUCUGUGGUACAACUACUGCUGACUCAUCCUGCACUACCUGCAGGACUCAGGGUUAGUACUCAUCACACACACACACACACACAUUUCCCACAGAUGACAUGUUUGAACCGUCCUUGUGGUUGUCUCGGUGGGUGUAGGUUGACCAGUGAGGGUUUCAACAACUUGUUGUUAGUCUACUCCUCUCUGGUUCUGUUUGGCUUCAAGAGUGAAGAUCUGGAUGUCAAGGUAACAUACAUUUCAGCUCUCUUCAAAAUAAAACUGAGUCUUUCAAUUCACUCUGAUAUGAAAUGUUAACAAAUGUUUUUUUUGCUGACCUACGUCUCUCAAUACCAAUUGCUGAUUGUAUCAGAAGUUGUGUACAUUGCCAAAUGGAUCUGCCAGAUAAGAUGGCGCCGGAGAACAAGGCUGACGUUUUACAUAUUCCUAACCAAUUUUUUGUUUGUUUCUUUGCGUUGUUUGUAACUUUUUUUUUUAAACUUAUUUUGUACGUAAUGUUGCUGCUACUGUCUCUUAUGACUGAAAAUAACUUCUGGGCAUCAUAACUGCGAUUACUCACCACGGACUAGCAGAAUGUCACAACUUCUGCCAAAGUAGGUCCCUCUCCUUGUUCGGGCGGCAUUGUGCGGUCGAAGUCAUCGGCUUUCUAGCCACCCCGAUCCCCUUUUCAUUUUCCAUUUGUUCUGUCUUUGUCUUACACACCUGGAUUCACUCAACCAAUUACUUGUUUAUUAUUUAACCCUCUGUUUCCCAUGUUGUGUUUGUGAGUGAUUGUUAAUUGUAAUUCGGUCCGUCUUUGUGGGGUUGUGAUGUUACUUUGUAUAUUUGUCUUUUGAGUAAAGUACGUUGAUUGCUCAUAUCUGCUGCCCUGCGCCUGACUCUCUACACCAGCUACACACAGGACCCUUACACAGAAUCCUUUUUUUCCUUUAACGAGUCCGACAAGCCCAAUGUGAAUGAUAUACUGCUUACCCGGGAACAGGCCCAGAUCCCCGUGAUUUGCAUGAAGAGAAGGCAGAGAAAAAGGGGCCAGAGGGCGGGCUGCCUUCUGAGAAUUCAUAGGCGAUCGAAUAUAAACCCCCACUUCCUUCCAUUCUGCUAGCAAACGUGUAAUCUUUGGGAAAUAAAAUCGAUGACCUACGCUGAAGAAUAGAUAAUCAACGGGAUAUUCAAAACUGUAAUAUCUUAUGCUUCAUGGAGUUGUGGCUGAACGAUGACAUUAUCAUGGUUAUACACUGUAUCGGCAGGACAGAACAGCGAUGUCAGGUAAGACAACGGGCGGCAGACUAUGUAUUUUUGUAAAUAACAGCUGGUGCACGAUAUCUAAGGAAGUCUCGAGGUUUUGCUCGUCUGAGGUAGAGUAUCUCAUGAUAAGCUGUAGACCACACUAUCUACCUAGAAAGUUUUCAUCUGUAUUUUCCAUAGCUGUCUACAGAGCACCACAGACUGAUGCUGGCACUAAGAUCACACUGAAUGAGCUGGAUUCCGCCAUAAGCAAACAGGAAAACGCUCACCCAGAGGUGACGCUCCUAGUAGCCAGGGACCUUAAUACAGGGAAACUUAAAUCCAUCUUUCCAAAUUUCUAUCAGCAUGUUAAAUGUGCAACCAGAGGGAAAAAACUCUGGACCACCUUUACUUCGCACACAGAGACGUGUACAAAACCGUUCCUCGCCCUCCAUUUGGCAAAUCUGACCAUAAUUUUAUCCUCCUGAUUCCUGCUUACAAACAUAAAUGAAAGCAGGAAGCACCAGUGGCUCGAUCAAUAAAAAAGUGGUCAGAUGAAGCAGAUUCUAAGCUACAGGACCGUUUUGCUCACACAGACUGGAAUAUGUUCCGGGAUUCCUCCGAUGGCAUUGAGGAGUAUACCACAUCAGUCAUUGGCUUCAUCAAUUAGUGCAUCGAUGGUGUCGUCCCCACAGUGACAGUACGUACAUACCCCAACCAGAAGCCAUGUAUUACAGGCAACAUCCGCACUGAACUCACCAAUAAGCAAAGGGCCCUGGGACUAAACACCUCCCUCUGCAACUGGAUCCUGGACUUCCUGACGGGCUUCCCCCAGGUGGUAAGGGUAGGUAACAACACAUUCGCCACGCUGAUCCUCAACACAGGGCCCCUCAGGGGUGCGUGCUCAGUCCUCUCCUGUACUCCCUGUUCACUCAUGACUGCAUGGCCAGGCACGACUCCAACACCAUCAUUAAGUUUGCAGAUGACACAACAGUUGUAGGCCUGAUCACCGACAACGACAAUACAGCCUUUACAUCACUGCCUGGUAUGGCAACUGCUCUGCCUCCGACCGCAAGGCACUACAGAGGGUAGUGCGUACGGCCCAGUACAUCACUGGGGCCAAGCUUCCUGCCAUACAGGACCUCUACACCAGGCAGUGUCAGAGGAAGGCCCUAAACAUUGUCAAAGACUCCAGCCACCCUAGUCAUAGACCAUUCUCCCUGCUGCCGCACGGCAAGCGUUACCGGAGCGCAAUGUCUAGGUCCAAGAGGCUUCUAAACAGUUUCUACCCCCAAGCCAUAAGACUCCGGAACAUCCAAUCAAAUGGCCAUUUGAUGGCUAUAAAUAGCUAUAGUGAUCAUCUAUGCAUAGUCACUUUAAUAACUCUACAUACAUGUACAUUUUACCUCAACUAACCGGUGCCUCCGCACAUUGACUCCGUACUGGUAGCCUCCUGUGUAUGUCUCGCUAUUGUUAUUUUACUGCUGCCCUUUAAUUACUUGUUACUUUUCUUUCUUAUUCUUACUCAUUUCACUGUAAGGUCUAAAUACCGGUAGCCUCCUGUGUAUAGUCUCGCUAUUGUUGGUUUUGACGCAUGUGACUAAUACAAUUUGAUUUGUGUGCUAGACCCUCCGUUAAAUUACGCAUUUCUCGAGGUAGGAAUACAGCAAAAAAUAUGAUCAAUGGCUCAUUCGAGAGAAGACAUCCUCCCGAGUUAUGACAUCGGACAGAUUUGAAAACUGACAUGUAUGAUAGAUGUUUUCGGCAAUCUUUAAAGUCGUAUUCCUAUUAGCUUCCAGUGUAGUGAGUGACUUUAUCACGGUGCUACGUAAUACCAGACGGAUUUCUGCCUGCUUGAAUGCCAAUAACUCAGAUAAACAUGAAAUUACCCAGGGAAUCGAUAGAACAUCACUCAGAGAUGCACAAAAACAAUAUAAUAUUCAAAAUGGGUGAACCUUCCCUUUAAUUUCAUUAUCUAUUGUGUAAUAGUAGCAGUGUCAUCAUUAAAUUCAUUACUGAUGGAAGGAUACAGGUUACACAGAGAGAAUGAGUUGUCCCAGUGGAUGGUUUGUGCGUGUGUAUUUGCGUGUGUGUUUGCAUGUGUAUUUGCAAAUGUAUAUUUGUAUAUGUGAGUGUGUAUGUGCAUACAUGUGUGUAUAUGUUUGUUUGUUAGGUUUCACCCCCUGCUCUCCCCCUGUCUUCCCCCCAUGAACCCUCUAGCGGCUCAGCUAAUGUUGAGGAGGGGCCCCUCUCGCCACUGGCUCCUGGGGACCUCUCUCUCCCAGCUGCAGGAGCUGCUCUCUGAGGUCCCUCACAAAGUCAUCAAGCUCUUCAGUGACACCAGGUCUCUGUACAAGCUGACUGCAGCAGCCUCCUCUCCAGAGUCUCACACUGAGACCACUCAUCAGAAAGACCACAGUAGCUCCACCGACCCUUGUGCCACAACAGAGACAACCAACACCCACACACACUGCGAUGAGAACCAUUCAAGCCUAUCCCCAACAGCUGCCUCGCUGGCUCCCCCAGUGCUGAGAGUUUAGCUAGGAGUUUAUAUGAAGAGAGCUCUCUCAUUACCAAGGAGGACAGUGCAGACUUCCAGGUAGACUUGAGUGAGGCCCCUUUCCAGCACACCUGGAGCCACAACCCAUGGGAGACAGAUGAGGUGAAAUUUGUAGGCUGGAAUAGAGGAGGACGAGGAGAGGAGUGGACAUCCAGAGCAUCCCUACACCAGGAGCCCCGUGGCUCCCCCAGAGACUACGCGCCAGAGAACCCUGUUCAGACAGACCCCUUGUUAUCAUUCAGCUACAGCACCAACACACAGAGACCAGUGUACUCCGACAACCAGAUGUACUCAUACUCUACAGUAGGCUACAGUAAACGGCAGCAGUACCCUGAUGGCAGCCUGGCCUCGCCUAGAGGAGCUCUGCCAUGGGGGGCAGUAGCAGUGGCAGUGGCCCCUACAGCACAACUCAGGGGAGGGGUGACAUGAGUGAGACACCUGACUAUGGGACCAGUUACACGACGGGAUAGAGAGAAAGAGGAGAUCAGAGGCCCCAAAGAUGAACAAUGAGAGUAACAUGUUAGACUGCUGAUGAAGCAAGUUUGCAUUUAAAUAUAUUUUUUAGAGAUCUCCUUUAGUGGUUUGGGAAAGUUCCAGUAUAGCCUCUAGUGUGGAAAUUAUAUCAUUAUUGAGGUAAAUGUGAGAAAUUACGAGAUUUUAUUGUUCUGUUUUCAUGUAUUCUUUUCAGUUUUAAAGGCCAUUGAAGAGGGGAAAGCUUAGUUAUGUGAAGGUGUUAGGCUGAAGGGAUGGACAGAUAAGACUAACCUUUUUCUAAAAUGUCUCUGUGAAAUACUGAGAUAUUAAGAUUUGCCUGAAAAGUGAACAGUAUCCUGUCAGUCCCUUGCCCUGUCAACAACUACAGAUAUUUGGUAUGUAAGAAAUACAUGUAGUAUGCCAUAGGUUCUUGAGUGUUUGAAAGACACUAUUAAAUGUUUAACUGUUGUUGGGAAAAUAUUUGUCAAUUUAUGUGUGUUAAGGUUUUUUUAAAUAAUGAUUUUGUUAAUAUUUUUCUAAGAAGGAUAAGACUAAAUAUACGGUUUUGUUUGACUUCAUAUAAAACACAUAAUGCUAAAGAUAAAUAAUUGUAAGUUAUGCUAGGUCAAAUACUUUUUAAAUUAAAGCCCAUCUGAAAUGUU
Oncorhynchus nerka (sockeye salmon) is the source of this 7135-nucleotide long non-coding RNA. RefSeq lists it as uncharacterized. The transcript has 2 exons. Lineage: Eukaryota; Metazoa; Chordata; Actinopteri; Salmoniformes; Salmonidae. The record is from RefSeq and is a predicted model, not a curated record.